RNAcentral lists this ribosomal RNA (253 nucleotides) under uncultured bacterium. Its description in RNAcentral is "partial 16S ribosomal RNA". It matches the Rfam family "Bacterial small subunit ribosomal RNA", at positions 524 to 776 of the family's 1533-position model. The record is from RNAcentral.
UACAGAGGGUGCAAGCGUUAAUCGGAAUCACUGGGCGUAAAGGGCGCGUAGGCGGCUUUUUAAGUCGGGGGUGAAAGCCUGUGGCUCAACCACAGAAUUGCCUUCGAUACUGGAAAGCUUGAGACCGGAAGAGGACAGCGGAACUGCGAGUGUAGAGGUGAAAUUCGUAGAUAUUCGCAAGAACACCAGUGGCGAAGGCGGCUGUCUGGUCCGGUUCUGACGCUGAGGCGCGAAAGCGUGGGGAGCAAACAGG